UGACACUUGUGAAACAUCUCAAUACUCUAUCAGCUUGUGAGUAAAUGUCAUUAAGUUAAUGUAGCUGCAGUUUCCUUUUGUAUUGCCAAAGGUUUCAUGAAAAUAAUAGUUUUGUAAUAUGCAAGCAUGUGGCAAAAUAAUUGUAAAUAGACUUCAAGUUUAAAGAUUUUUUUUCCUAGUAUAGCUUUCUGUUGGUUCUAUAUGUAUUACCUUUCCCUUCAGAGUGAGCUUCUUGAGAGAAGCUGCAGUGUGAUUCGAUGUUUCCUUCAACUUUUUAAAAAAAGUUUCCAUGUUAAAACCUAGCACAAGUGUAUCAGGGGAUCUGUCUUGCUGUCAGUUUUUCAAAACAACUACAUUUUGAAGUCAGUGGGGAUAUCUGUUGAACAAGGUGUGGCAUAAUAUGGCCUAGGGCUACUAAGUUACUUACUUGAUAAAUAUUACAGGAAAUGUGUUCUUAGUAUUGCACUCUUGCUCUUUCUGCUAAGUGCCUUAACUACCAGCUUCUUCUUGUUAAUGGUUUCCCCAUGAAUGUGGUCUUUCUGCCAGACUGGCAUCAGUUGAGAAGAAGGAUAAUUGAGUCUGACAGCUGUCCCUCUUGUAGACCAGCUGGGACAUCUUCAGCAAUUAUGGAACACCAAAGAGAAGGGACAAGAGUCCAUAAAGAGGAACAGAACUCUGAGGCCUGUGUUUUUUGUUGGGAAAUGUGCCUGUCCCAGGGACUCAGGUGGAGAGCUGCUGUGCUGUCCAGGGACCAGAUCAGCUGGAGGAAGACCAGAAGCAAAUAAUGACAGCACAGCAGCAGCUUGCAACUGAACUGGAAGAGAGCGUUGCUGGUGUGGGCAGCCUGCCCAACUGGCCCUCCUGGUGUGAGCCCCUCUGACAGCAGCCCCCGAGACCGCCGUGGCAGGGGAGAGCCGCUGUGCCUGCUGGCAGCCCGGGGAGCGAUGGAGCGCAACGCUGACUGCACCGUCCUCGUCUUCAGUCCCG
This 987-nucleotide long non-coding RNA is filed under the name Parus major (Great Tit). Its description in RNAcentral is "lncRNA (ENSPMJG00000015118.1)". Lineage: Eukaryota; Metazoa; Chordata; Aves; Passeriformes; Paridae. The record is from RNAcentral.